This 527-nucleotide ribosomal RNA is filed under the name uncultured Gammaproteobacteria bacterium. RNAcentral's name for it is "partial 16S ribosomal RNA". Lineage: Bacteria; Pseudomonadati; Pseudomonadota; Gammaproteobacteria. The record is from RNAcentral.
UUACCGCGGCUGCUGGCACGGAGUUAGCCGGUGCUUCUUCUGCGAGUAACGUCACAGAUGUAAGGUAUUAACUUACACCCUUUCCUCCUCGCUGAAAGUGCUUUACAACCCGAAGGCCUUCUUCACACACGCGGCAUGGCUGCAUCAGGGUUUCCCCCAUUGUGCAAUAUUCCCCACUGCUGCCUCCCGUAGGAGUCUGGGCCGUGUCUCAGUCCCAGUGUGGCUGAUCAUCCUCUCAGACCAGCUAGGGAUCGUUGCCUAGGUGAGCCAUUACCUCACCUACUAGCUAAUCCCACCUGGGCUUAUCCAUCAGCGCAAGGCCCGAAGGUCCCCUGCUUUCCCCCGUAGGGCGCAUGCGGUAUUAGCAGUCGUUUCCAACUGUUAUCCCCCACAAAUGGGCAAAUUCCCAGGCAUUACUCACCCGUCCGCCGCUCGUCAUCUUCAAAAGCAAGCUUUUGAAAUGUUACCGCUCGACUUGCAUGUGUUAGGCCUGCCGCCAGCGUUCAAUCUGAGCCAUGAUCAAACUC